RNAcentral lists this long non-coding RNA (768 nucleotides) under Volvox carteri. RNAcentral's name for it is "long non-coding RNA (VCAR_LNC000305)". The record is from RNAcentral. Lineage: Eukaryota; Viridiplantae; Chlorophyta; Chlorophyceae; Chlamydomonadales; Volvocaceae.
GCCUCCUCCUCCCGCCACAGCUUAGCCAGCUGGCCGCAUAGGGCCCAGGCCGCCCCAGCCGCGUGUACGGAAACCUCCGACCCGCUUCCCGCCCAGCGCCAGUCCACCAAAGGGGGAGGGAUGUACGGACGGUUGGACGAGCGGAGGGCCUGGUACGUUCGCCGCUCCGAGGCGCCGUACCUGGUCCGGCGGGUGGGUGGGGAUCAGCGCCUCGGGUGAGUGCAGUGGACCUAGCCAGUAGACCUCCCCCCCGUUGCUCCCCUCUACCCCACCUCUUACACCCCCCCUUCGGGGCCCCGCUUGGGCCCCCUGCUUCCAGGACGGUCAGCGCUGUUGACUCAUACGGCAGUCAGUCGGCGCUCUGGACGUAUCUGUCGGCACUGCGGGUUUCACCCCCUCUCUUGCUUCACCCCAUGAUUUCCCCCCCUCCCGCCCCGCUCCCACCUCAGCCUCCUCUCGUGCGCCUCCAGCGCUGUCAGCGGUGCCAGCCAGCGCAGCAGCUCCAGAACCAGCUCCACCCCCCCCGGCCCCACGGCGGCCAACAUGGCCCGAUCUGAGGUCGCAGCGAAGCAGGGCCCCAGGGCCGAGCCAGGGGGGCCGGGGGCAGCAGCUGCAGCAGCCGCACCCGCACACCUGAGGAAGGCCUCCGCCCCCAGACCAGGUCGCAGGACCAGCCCCAGGAGCACCACACCAAGAUGAACAACCCUGAAUGCGCGUAGGAAGUUUGGGGAAGGGGUGUGGAGGUGUGGGGUGGGGGAUGGGGGGAUU